AAAAUAUAGAUAGAUGGAAGAAGAGAGAACUGGAGAUGUCCCAACAGAAACCAAACUCAAUACACACUGUCUCUAAAUGGAAAAGGUAAUGAAGUUGGUAAAGUUCUACAAGCUCAAAUCUGGGACUUGUGAGUCAUCCAUGAGGGAUGACACAGAAAUUGAGACCUCCUUGCUUCAGAUGGAGAAAAAACACAGCAUUGUGACAAGAUGGAGAGAAUCAGAUUCGAGCUUCCACCGUACUCUUAGAGAUGUUGAUCAGGACCUCAGAAGCCACCUGAUCUGCAGAGCUAGAACUGAAUCCAGAGAGAGAGAGCAGUACUCCUUCAACUGAAAAGAACAUAUCCAGAUGGUCAAGGC
Melanotaenia boesemani (Boeseman's rainbowfish) is the source of this 357-nucleotide long non-coding RNA. RefSeq lists it as uncharacterized. Lineage: Eukaryota; Metazoa; Chordata; Actinopteri; Atheriniformes; Melanotaeniidae. The record is from RefSeq and is a predicted model, not a curated record. The transcript is spliced from 5 exons.